Molecule: long non-coding RNA, 748 nt
Organism: Eufriesea mexicana
Lineage: Eukaryota; Metazoa; Arthropoda; Insecta; Hymenoptera; Apidae
Exons: 3
Source: RefSeq, a predicted model, not a curated record
UGCCAUGUCUGCCCGUUAAUAUUCGGUGCAUCAUUUGCAGUAACGCUCGUCGAACGUUUUAACAGCAACGUUAAAACCAUUAGCGUCACAGGUGCAGCGAUUUCAAGUUUGUUGAACCGUAGAUAACGAGCCGAGUAAAACGAACAGGGAGGAUGCACGAGGAGAGAGGGUACACAUUGGCGAGUACAUAAACAGUGUAGAACACCCUAUAGAAUAUAACAAUUAGAAGUAAUAUAUGUUAAAGCAGCAGAACAUAUUUUCAAAAAUAUUCUGAGCAAUCGAAAUAAUUUACACAACGGGAUAUAAUUAAAUCAAGGACCGUUAAUUAUGAAGAAAUUACAAUGAACAUAUAAUUAUAUCAAAGUAUGCAUAACGCAGAGAGCUUACUCGGGAACACGUCUGAUUCGCAUAGAUUCUUCGAAUGGCACCCUUCGAUAAUGGUACAAGGUUUACACUUAUCGCUAAAGCGUAAGGGAUACAUUACUCAAGAAGUCGUAACGUAAGCCAUCCGUUUGCACACUUUAAUUAUGACACAUAUAGUUGGCGAAGCAACCGCAUGAAAUAGAAUAUACCAUGAUACUUCAUCGUUUCAAUUAUGCAUCUCAAACGCGCCAUCUUGCGGGAAUUAAUAAAUAAGCGUGCUUGAAUAUUUCCAUAGUAAUCCGUUCGUACGAUGAGGAAUGGGAGUUAUCUGUUAAUACAUUGUAGAGUAACACAAUGAAGAUCUUUCCUUCACACGAAUACGCAU